AAAUCAGCAAGCUACCAAACUCCGGCAAGAACUCCGGCAAUUCUCCAGUCAACUCAUUUGAAGAGAGAUUCAGAGAGUGGAGAUGAAAGCAGGGGGAAACUAACUCUGAAGAGAGACUACCAUUAAGAUAAUUAUCAGCAAGAGAGAGGUUCUGAAGUGUCUGAAUCCUGCAGAACCCUGAAGGAAAGCCACCAGAAACACCAAACCCAGACAAAUCGAUGGAAACGACGGCAUGUGUUUUGUAAUCACAAGCAAUACCAGUCCAUUUGCAGGGAUCAUCACUGGUGGGAACCCAGUCUCCCAGUCUACCCUCCGGGUCAUCAAGCCCGCUAUUCUUGAUCUGAAUCAGAAUAUCGGCGUCCCUGUUCAGAGAAAUCACCAGAGAAACAAAACCCGAAAAGAAGAAGAAGACUAGCAGCAGGCGCAGAGUCAUGUUCCAGAGAGCUCUGGGAGUGAGAAGAAGAAUAAGCAUUGGCUUUAGAGGGCUUGGGGUUGAGGAAACGGAUGGGUUCAUUGCAUGGAAAUGGUGACAAGUAGAGUUCCUCCGGGAAUCGCAGUUUCGGGCGGCUCACAUGGAAAUUACUAUUGCAGGAAGCAGAACAUGGUCUUUGGGAAAAUGGGUGAGCACAGUGCUUUACGGAUAACAUGCAAGAUAUUAGGUUAGGUACAAUUACGCGUUUAAGGCCAAAAUAGUGCUUUUUAAGAAUAAAAUAAUCAAAAUAAUAUUUACUUACCAAUCUAACCUUUUUUAUCACGACGAUCCACGUGACUGUUUUUUAUUUUUUAAUGUAAAAAAAUCGAUGAAUGACUUCCCAAAUGAUUUAACAUCCUAAAAACGGUUUCUAACAUUUUUAAUACUCACAAGGAUAAAAAAAAAUUCAAGUAUUAAAAUAUUAAAAAUAUUUUUUAAAAUCAUUUCUAAACCAACUCUUAAUUAUCUUAACUUCAAUUUUUUGAUUUACUAAAUAUAAAAAGUUGCUUAUACUAAUUAAAAAAUUAUUAAUAAAUAUAGAAAAUAUUUUUUGUUUGAAUCUCCAUAUGAGUACAUUAAUAAUUAUAAAAAUAAAAAUAUAACUAAAAUGAUAUUUAAAAUAGAAAUAUAAUCAGAAUAAUAUAAAAAGAAUUAAGAGUUUGUUUAAUAAUGAUUGUAAAAAACGCUUUUAAUCUAAAAAUUAUCUUUGAAAACGCUUUUAAAAAUAUUUCUCUUAACAAAACUUUGAAAAAAAGUACUUAUUAAAAAUACUUCAAAUAAAAAUACUAGCAAACACAUUUUAAAAUCAAUAAUCCACUCAAUAAAAAAAAAAUAUUUAUUUUAAUAAAAAAAUUAAAAGAAUAUAUUAAUUGUUAUUGUAAUUUUUUUAUAUAAAAGAUAGAGUGAAAGAAGAAUAAAAUUGAUAAUUCACUUGAGGAUUGUUUAUUUUGAUAAAAUAUUAAAGGAAUAUAUCAUUAUUAUAGUAAGUUUUUUUUUUCUUUUCUUUUAUUAUUCCAUAUAGGAAUCAAUUAAAUUUAUAAAAAAUCUACCCCAUUUGAAAUAAUUUCUAUGAGGAAAUUUUAUCAUUAAAAACUAUUAAAAUAAAAUAAAUAAGGAAAAAAAAAUGAUAUACGUACGAGAAGAGAAGAGAGUAAAUGAAUAAUCAUAUUCAUUUGAAAAUAGGAUAGAAAAAUAUAAUAUAUGGUAAUACUUACUUUAAAAAAAAUGUAAUAUAUUUGGUAUUAUUUUUAAAUCAUUUUAUAAUCUAUAAUUUAGAAAAUAAUAUUUAUUUUUUGAAAUUUUAGUGAAUUUAUGAGGUCAAUUUGAAAUUUCGGGAUUUGGAGGAUUGUUGAUGGUUUUAGCGUAAUAUCUCACAUUAAGUAGAAAAGGAAGUUUCUUAGUGGGUUCUCACAUUAAGUACAAAAGGAAGUUUCUUAGUGGGUUCUUCGGGUACACACGCAUUUUAGAAAAUAGAGUUGACUGGAGUUGCAUGUCAUUAAAAAUUAGUACUAGAGUUUGACCUAGAUUUAGGACUUUAUCUGACCCUGUGAUACUACUCUUUGCUUGCCCCUAAAUCUCAAGGAAUAUGAAUGAAAAGUUUCCAUCUUGAGGAAUGAUUGUAUUACCUCAAAUUAAUUAUGGUAAAAGUUUUUCAUGUUAUAUAUGUUGUGUGUUGUUUUAAAUGAUCAUGUCAUUUUUUAAAUAGUAAGAAUCUAUCAUAUCAAUAAUAGGCAAUAUUUAGGUAAAAAUAUUAAAUUUUAUUUUAUAAGUGUUUUUUAAAACAGUUUUAAAAAGUAAUUUUUGAAAACUGUUUUAUGAUAUUUGAUAAAAUAAAUGUCAGUUUAAGAAUCUAAAAUGUUUUAACCUGUUUUUUUAUAUUUUUAGCUAUGUUUUAAAAAUAAUUGUUAUAUGCAAAGUUUUAUUUUUAAUCUUCUUCUAUAUUUAAAAUAACCCUAAAAAAUAAAUUAAAAUAAUUAAAAAGCGUUAUUUGAAAACCUCUUAGUUUUUGUUUUUAAAAAUAGAAAUUAAAUUUUUUAUUAUCAAGCAUAUUUUCUUACUUUUUUAUUUUGAAAAACAGAAAAUUAACCUAAAAAGCAGAUAUAAAAUAUAGCUUUUUUUAAAAAAAAAAAUCUUAUUCUAUAUCUGACCAAUUAAAUAUUAUCGUAAACAACUAGCUAGCUUGAAUUUUGUACCGAAGUCAACACUUUGUCAGAAGGUCUAAGUUUGGAAAUGAAGUUUAAUUUUGAAACAUACAAGCUAGAAUUUGGAUACUUGAAUUCUUUGAAAUUGAGUAUGGAAUUGAAAAUGUAUGAUAAAGUCUUACCAUGUCCCACUGAAAAAAAUAUAAAGUUAAUUAGAGUCACAAGCUACUCCGUCAUGAAUUCUGAGCCAAGCUCCUCUGUCAUGAAUUCUGAGCCAAGCUCCUCUGUCAUGAAUUCUGAGGUGAAUGUAGUAGGCUUAAUUUCAAGAAACAAGUACAAACCAUACUCACUAAUUCAUCAAGAUUAAUGGCAACGCUGCUUAUAGAGGGUUUGGCACAUCUGUAUCACAAAAAAACUGGAGGGCUGUGAAGGGAAACCAAGUAUAAAACUACCAUGCACUGCUACAAUUUUGGAGAAUCAUUCUGUGAGAGCCAAUGUGUGGCCCUUCAGCAAUUCAACUACUCUUCUCAUGGAGGGCCUGUUCAUGGGAAACGCUGCAGUGCAUAGAAGAGCCACAUCCAAAACUUUCUCAAUCUCUUCAUAAUCACCUGUAGAUGGGUUCAGCCUUGGGUCUACAAGCUGAUCCAGAUCCAUACAGCCGCUGCAGCCAUUCCCAUCACUUCCUUCUGGAGCCGAUAAUGCAGCCUCUGUUACCCACUUCACUAUGUCCCUGUUUUCACCAAAGGAGGGGUCAUUGGGCCUUUUCCCAGUUACUAGCUCCAUUAAUACAACACCAAAACUAUACACGUCGCUCUUCUCAGUCACCUUCAGCGUGUAAGCGUAUUCUGCAGUUGGUCGAUUCAACACCAACAUAGAUUAGCAAGAUAACCAUCUUUACAUAAUAUCUAUGAUCAAACGAAGAUUAUCUCAGAUGUUUGGGAAUUUGAAAACUAAACAUGAGACUGAAACAGAGUGAGAGAGGGCAAACUAAGCUCACCUGGUGCAAUGUAGCCAUAGGAGCCAGCGACACGAGACAUGAGCUCAUCGCUUUCGCCCACCUCGCGGUGCAGCGUCUUGGCCAGCCCAAAAUCAGCUAUACGUGGACUGAACUCCUCGUCCAAGAGUAUAUUGUUAGACUUUACAUCCCGGUGCACGAUGGCCGGCACGCAGUCGUGGUGCAAAUACGCCAGUCCCUGAGCUGCACCAACUGCUAUCUUGAACCGCCGGUGCCAAUCCAACAAACCUUCACCCUUAUCCCCAUGCAACACCUCACCCAAGCUCCCAUUCUCCAUGUACUCGUAUACCAAAACUCUGAAAUCCUCGUCGCUGCAGCUAAACAACAGUUUUACGAUAUUGCAAUGCCGGAUUCCUCCCAAUGUCUCCACCUCAGAUUGGAAAAUGGCUUCCGUUUCUGGUUCUCGCCUGCCUCCACAAAGUUUCUUAACCGCUAUGGUCUGACCAGUUUUCAGCUUCACUCUGUAGACCUGACCCGACCCACCGGUACCGACGAGGUUUUCGUCCUUUAAUGAUGAGGAAAUUUCCUCUUCAUUGAACCGAAUGGAUUGGAAUAUGGUAGUUUUCCAUUGGCGAUUGGGUUUGUCGCCAAAUAUUUUUGAUCUGGUCUUCAAGAACCAGAAGAGUGAUCCGAGUAGAAGUAUUAAUGUAAAAAUGGCUAAAACACCAAUCAAAUACAAGGUGAUGGGUUUGGAUCGCGAGCAUGGAGGGAGCGGUUUCAGGUUCGGACUGCACAGAUUCGGGUUACCCAUCAAACUCUGGAGAUAAUACUUGUGGCUGAACCCGAUUGGGACUUCACCCGACAGUAGGUUGUUGGAAACGUUAAAUAUGUUGAGCUUUAACUUCGUUAACUCCACCGGAAUCUCUCCGGUGAGAAAGUUGCCGGCGAGGUCUAGGUACGUUAGAACUGGUAAAUUUCCGAGCUCCGCGGGAAUUUCGCCUGUGAAUCUAUUACCUGCAAGGUUCAAUUCCGUCAGAUCAGUCCACGAGCUUACUCUGCUUGGAAUCCCUCCAGAUAACAUGUUCUGUUGAAGCUCCAGAUUCUGUAGCUUCUUCAAGUCGGUUAUACACACAGGGACAUCGCCGGAAAACUGAUUCCUGCUUCCAUCGAAGGACAUCAGCCUUUUCAAGCCGCAUAUAUCAGCAGGCAACUUAUCCGAAAAUUUGUUACCAGAGAUAAGAAAGUUUGUCAGCUUCUGAGCUCCGGAUAUGGAAGGAGGAAUGGAACCUUGGAAUCUAUUGUUUUCUAAUUGAAGAAAAUGUAGCUCAGGCAAACCCCAAAACCUAUUAGGCACUUCUCCAGAAAGUUCAGUGCUGAAGAUACGUACAUAAGAUAGAGAAUUGCAGUCACCGUACGUCUCCGGCAGAUUUCCUGAGAAUUGGUUGUUGAAUAAGAUGAGACGUCGAAGCCUCUUCCUGUAACAUAAAAACGGAGGCAAGUCACCUGUGAAAUUGUUACCAGAGACAUCAAUAUCAAUCAGAGCAGAAUUCCGACCAAGAUUUUCUGGCAAAGAGCCGGAAAAUCUGUUAUUGAAGAUCUUCAGCUCAUGUAGAUUUGGAUUUGAUGCUAGACUUUCCGGAAUCUCCCCAUCGAAGAAAUUAUCGUUAAGAUUAAGCGACUUGAGAGGCAUUCCUGCGAUCUUCUCCGGCAAUUUUCCUGAGAGAUUGUUCUGGGACGCGUCCAAUUGAACUAAAGCUGUCAUAUUUGAGAUACUUUCCGGCAGUUCGCCGGAGAGAUUGUUGAGGUAGAGCUCUAUUUGUAUUACGUUUUUCAAUCUGCCAAUACUGUCAGGGAUCUUACCGGAGAGACUGUUGUUGGAGAGAUCGAAAUUCGUGACCGACACGAGACUGCCGACUGAUUCAGGUAUGUCUCCGAUGAGGCUCGAGCAAGGAAACCAAAGAUUUUCGAGCUUAGUUAGGUUACCUAUAUUCGAAGGCAAGCGACUGGGCUUGAACGGAUUAUAAGCUAUUUCGAGCCGAGUUAACUCAGUGAGGUUCGUUAAGAAUGACGGAAUCGAACCGUCGAGGAGGUUUUGACACAAUCUCAGGACUUUGAGCGCCGGAAAGCGGCCGAAACUGGCCGGAAUCUCGCCGCUGAAGUUGUUGAAUGAGAGAUCCAAAAUCAGCAAGCUACCAAACUCCGGCACGAACUCCGGCAAUUCUCCAGUCAACUCAUUUGAAGAGAGAUUCAGAGAGUGGAGAUGAAAGCAGGGGGAAACUAACUCUGAUGUGAGACUACCAUUAAGAUUAUUAUCAGCGAGAGAGAGGUUCUGGAGUGUCUGAAUCCUGCAGAACCCUGAAGGAAAGCCACCAGAAACACCAAACCCAGACAAAUCGAUGGAAACAACGGCAUGUGUUUUGUAAUCACAAGCAAUACCAGUCCAUUUGCAGGGAUCAUCACUGGUGGGAACCCAGU
This 6043-nucleotide long non-coding RNA is filed under the name Vitis vinifera (wine grape). RNAcentral describes it as "long non-coding RNA (VVIN_LNC007627)". Lineage: Eukaryota; Viridiplantae; Streptophyta; Magnoliopsida; Vitales; Vitaceae. The record is from RNAcentral.